GACGAACGCUGGCGGCGUGCUUAACACAUGCAAGUCGAACGAAAAGAGGGAAAGAGCUUGCUCUUUCCGGAAUUGAGUGGCAAACGGGUGAGUAACACGUAAACAACCUGCCUUCAGGAUGGGGACAACAGACGGAAACGACUGCUAAUACCGAAUAAGUUCCAAGGGCCGCAUGGCCCAUGGAAGAAAAGGUGGCCUCUACCUGUAAGCUAUCGCCUGAAGAGGGGUUUGCGUCUGAUUAGCUGGUUGGAGGGGUAACGGCCCACCAAGGCGACGAUCAGUAGCCGGUCUGAGAGGAUGGACGGCCCACCUGGAAUUGGGACACGGUCCAGACUCCUAAGGGAGGCAGCAGGGGGGAAUCUUCCGAAAUGGGCGAAAGCCUGACGGAGCAACGCCGCGUGGGGGAUGACGGCCUUCGGGUUGUAAAACUCUGUGAUCCGGGACGAAAAGGCAGAGUGCGAAGAACAAACUGCAUUGACGGUACCGGAAAAGCAAGCCACGGCUAACUACGUG
Molecule: ribosomal RNA, 513 nt
Filed under: uncultured bacterium
Lineage: Bacteria
Description: partial 16S ribosomal RNA
Rfam family: Bacterial small subunit ribosomal RNA
Source: RNAcentral